RNAcentral lists this ribosomal RNA (793 nucleotides) under Pontibacter sp. MJ319. Its description in RNAcentral is "bacterial SSU rRNA". It matches the Rfam family "Bacterial small subunit ribosomal RNA", at positions 61 to 853 of the family's 1533-position model. Lineage: Bacteria; Pseudomonadati; Bacteroidota; Cytophagia; Cytophagales; Hymenobacteraceae. The record is from RNAcentral.
GUCGAACGAGCUCAUUCCUUUCGGGGAAUGGGUUAGUGGCGCACGGGUGCGUAACGCGUAUGCAACCUACCUUCCACUGGGGGAUAGCCCACCGAAAGGUGGAUUAAUACCGCAUACUAUAACAGACACGGCAUCGUGUUGUUAUGAAAGCUUUGGCGGUGGAAGAUGGGCAUGCGUGCCAUUAGCUAGAUGGUGCGGGUAACGGCCCACCAUGGCGACGAUGGCUAGGGGUUCUGAGAGGAUGGUCCCCCACACUGGUACUGAGACACGGACCAGACUCCUACGGGAGGCAGCAGUAGGGAAUAUUGGGCAAUGGCCGAGAGGCUGACCCAGCCAUGCCGCGUGCAGGAAGAAGGCCUUCUGGGUUGUAAACUGCUUUUAUCAGGGAAGAAAACGCUCCUGCGGGAGUAACUGACGGUACCUGAUGAAUAAGCACCGGCUAACUCCGUGCCAGCAGCCGCGGUAAUACGGAGGGUGCAAGCGUUGUCCGGAUUUAUUGGGUUUAAAGGGUGCGUAGGCGGCCCGUUAAGUCAGUGGUGAAAUCCCAGGGCUCAACCCUGGAACUGCCAUUGAUACUGAUGGGCUUGAGUUCGGUCGAGGCGGGCGGAACUGGUGGUGUAGCGGUGAAAUGCAUAGAUACCACCAAGAACCCCGAUUGCGUAGGCAGCUCGCUAGGCCGAAACUGACGCUGAGGCACGAAAGCGUGGGGAGCGAACAGGAUUAGAUACCCUGGUAGUCCACGCCGUAAACGAUGAGUACUCGAUGUUGGCGAUACACGGCCAGCGUCCAAGCG